GAUGAACGCUGGCGGCGUGCUUAACACAUGCAAGUCGAACGGAAAGGCUCCUGCUUGCAGGGGUACUCGAGUGGCGAACGGGUGAGUAACACGUGGGUGAUCUGCCCUGCACUUCGGGAUAAGCCUGGGAAACUGGGUCUAAUACCGGAUAGGACGAUGGUUUGGAUGCCAUUGUGGAAAGUUUUUCGGUGUGGGAUGAGCUCGCGGCCUAUCAGCUUGUUGGUGGGGUAAUGGCCUACCAAGGCGUCGACGGGUAGCCGGCCUGAGAGGGUGUACGGCCACAUUGGGACUGAGAUACGGCCCAGACUCCUACGGGAGGCAGCAGUGGGGAAUAUUGCACAAUGGGCGCAAGCCUGAUGCAGCGACGCCGCGUGGGGGAUGACGGCCUUCGGGUUGUAAACUCCUUUCGCUAGGGACGAAGCGCAAGUGACGGUACCUGGUGAAGAAGCACCGGCUAACUACGUG
This 465-nucleotide ribosomal RNA is filed under the name uncultured bacterium. RNAcentral's name for it is "partial 16S ribosomal RNA". It matches the Rfam family "Bacterial small subunit ribosomal RNA", at positions 28 to 507 of the family's 1533-position model. The record is from RNAcentral.